Molecule: ribosomal RNA, 3029 nt
Filed under: Salmonella enterica subsp. enterica serovar Infantis
Lineage: Bacteria; Pseudomonadati; Pseudomonadota; Gammaproteobacteria; Enterobacterales; Enterobacteriaceae
Description: 23S ribosomal RNA
Rfam family: Bacterial large subunit ribosomal RNA
Source: RNAcentral
GGGUUGUGAGGUUAAGCGACUAAGCGUACACGGUGGAUGCCCUGGCAGUCAGAGGCGAUGAAGGGCGUGCUAAUCUGCGAUAAGCGCCGGUAAGGUGAUAUGAACCGUUAUAACCGGCGAUACCCGAAUGGGGAAACCCAGUGUGACUCGUCACACUAUCAUUAACUGAAUCCAUAGGUUAAUGAGGCGAACCGGGGGAACUGAAACAUCUAAGUACCCCGAGGAAAAGAAAUCAACCGAGAUUCCCCCAGUAGCGGCGAGCGAACGGGGAGGAGCCCAGAGCCUGAAUCAGCAUGUGUGUUAGUGGAAGCGUCUGGAAAGGCGCGCGAUACAGGGUGACAGCCCCGUACACAAAAGCGCAUGUGCUGUGAGCUCGAUGAGUAGGGCGGGACACGUGGUAUCCUGUCUGAAUAUGGGGGGACCAUCCUCCAAGGCUAAAUACUCCUGACUGACCGAUAGUGAACCAGUACCGUGAGGGAAAGGCGAAAAGAACCCCGGCGAGGGGAGUGAAAAAGAACCUGAAACCGUGUACGUACAAGCAGUGGGAGCCCCACCACCAAAGCAUUCUCUGGUGUUGAAGGCCCUGCAAAGCAGCAUCGCGGUGGCGGAGCGUCGUUUGCGACGCCCAACACACAAAACAAGCGGUGAGUGCUUUGGGGUGGGGUGACUGCGUACCUUUUGUAUAAUGGGUCAGCGACUUAUAUUCUGUAGCAAGGUUAACCGAAUAGGGGAGCCGGAGGGAAACCGAGUCUUAAUUGGGCGUUAAGUUGCAGGGUAUAGACCCGAAACCCGGUGAUCUAGCCAUGGGCAGGUUGAAGGUUGGGUAACACUAACUGGAGGACCGAACCGACUAAUGUUGAAAAAUUAGCGGAUGACCUGUGGCUGGGGGUGAAAGGCCAAUCAAACCGGGAGAUAGCUGGUUCUCCCCGAAAGCUAUUUAGGUAGCGCCUCGUGAAUUCAUCUCCGGGGGUAGAGCACUGUUUCGGCUAGGGGGCCAUCCCGGCUUACCAACCCGAUGCAAACUGCGAAUACCGGAGAAUGUUAUCACGGGAGACACACGGCGGGUGCUAACGUCCGUCGUGAAGAGGGAAACAACCCAGACCGCCAGCUAAGGUCCCAAAGUCAUGGUUAAGUGGGAAACGAUGUGGGAAGGCCCAGACAGCCAGGAUGUUGGCUUAGAAGCAGCCAUCAUUUAAAGAAAGCGUAAUAGCUCACUGGUCGAGUCGGCCUGCGCGGAAGAUGUAACGGGGCUAAACCAUGCACCGAAGCUGCGGCAGCGACACUCAGGUGUUGUUGGGUAGGGGAGCGUUCUGUAAGCCUGCGAAGGUGGCCUGUGAGGGUUGCUGGAGGUAUCAGAAGUGCGAAUGCUGACAUAAGUAACGAUAAAGCGGGUGAAAAGCCCGCUCGCCGGAAGACCAAGGGUUCCUGUCCAACGUUAAUCGGGGCAGGGUGAGUCGACCCCUAAGGCGAGGCCGAAAGGCGUAGUCGAUGGGAAACGGGUUAAUAUUCCCGUACUUGGUGUUACUGCGAAGGGGGGACGGAGAAGGCUAUGUUGGCCGGGCGACGGUUGUCCCGGUUUAAGCGUGUAGGUGUGUGUUCCAGGUAAAUCCGGUUCACUUUAACACUGAGGCGUGAUGACGAGGCACUACGGUGCUGAAGCAACAAAUGCCCUGCUUCCAGGAAAAGCCUCUAAGCAUCAGGUAACAUCAAAUCGUACCCCAAACCGACACAGGUGGUCAGGUAGAGAAUACCAAGGCGCUUGAGAGAACUCGGGUGAAGGAACUAGGCAAAAUGGUGCCGUAACUUCGGGAGAAGGCACGCUGACACGUAGGUGAAGUGAUUUACUCAUGGAGCUGAAGUCAGUCGAAGAUACCAGCUGGCUGCAACUGUUUAUUAAAAACACAGCACUGUGCAAACACGAAAGUGGACGUAUACGGUGUGACGCCUGCCCGGUGCCGGAAGGUUAAUUGAUGGGGUCAGCGCAAGCGAAGCUCCUGAUCGAAGCCCCGGUAAACGGCGGCCGUAACUAUAACGGUCCUAAGGUAGCGAAAUUCCUUGUCGGGUAAGUUCCGACCUGCACGAAUGGCGUAAUGAUGGCCAGGCUGUCUCCACCCGAGACUCAGUGAAAUUGAACUCGCUGUGAAGAUGCAGUGUACCCGCGGCAAGACGGAAAGACCCCGUGAACCUUUACUAUAGCUUGACACUGAACAUUGAGCCUUGAUGUGUAGGAUAGGUGGGAGGCUUUGAAGUGUGGACGCCAGUCUGCAUGGAGCCGACCUUGAAAUACCACCCUUUAAUGUUUGAUGUUCUAACGUGGACCCGUAAUCCGGGUUGCGGACAGUGUCUGGUGGGUAGUUUGACUGGGGCGGUCUCCUCCUAAAGAGUAACGGAGGAGCACGAAGGUUGGCUAAUCCUGGUCGGACAUCAGGAGGUUAGUGCAAUGGCAUAAGCCAGCUUGACUGCGAGCGUGACGGCGCGAGCAGGUGCGAAAGCAGGUCAUAGUGAUCCGGUGGUUCUGAAUGGAAGGGCCAUCGCUCAACGGAUAAAAGGUACUCCGGGGAUAACAGGCUGAUACCGCCCAAGAGUUCAUAUCGACGGCGGUGUUUGGCACCUCGAUGUCGGCUCAUCACAUCCUGGGGCUGAAGUAGGUCCCAAGGGUAUGGCUGUUCGCCAUUUAAAGUGGUACGCGAGCUGGGUUUAGAACGUCGUGAGACAGUUCGGUCCCUAUCUGCCGUGGGCGCUGGAGAACUGAGGGGGGCUGCUCCUAGUACGAGAGGACCGGAGUGGACGCAUCACUGGUGUUCGGGUUGUCAUGCCAAUGGCACUGCCCGGUAGCUAAAUGCGGAAGAGAUAAGUGCUGAAAGCAUCUAAGCACGAAACUUGCCCCGAGAUGAGUUCUCCCUGAGACUUUAAGUCUCCUGAAGGAACGUUGAAGACGACGACGUUGAUAGGCCGGGUGUGUAAGCGCAGCGAUGCGUUGAGCUAACCGGUACUAAUGAACCGUGAGGCUUAACCUUACAACGCCGAAG